This 497-nucleotide ribosomal RNA is filed under the name uncultured bacterium. Its description in RNAcentral is "partial 16S ribosomal RNA". It matches the Rfam family "Bacterial small subunit ribosomal RNA", at positions 28 to 507 of the family's 1533-position model. The record is from RNAcentral.
GACGAACGCUGGCGGCGUGCCUAAUACAUGCAAGUUGAGCGCUGAAGGUUGGUACUUGUACCGACUGGAUGAGCAGCGAACGGGUGAGUAACGCGUGGGGCAUCUGCCUUUGAGCGGGGGACCACAUUGGGAAACGAAUGCUAAUACCGCAUAAGAACUUUAAACACAAGGUUUAAGUUUGAAAGAUGCAAUUGCAUCACUCAAAGAUGAUCCCGCGUUGUAUUAGCUUGUUGGUGAGGUAAAGGCUCACCAAGGCGAGGAUACAUAGACGACCUGAGAGGGUGAUCGGCCGCCUUGGGACUGUGACACGGCCCAAACGCCUACGGGAGGCAGCAGUAGGGCAUCUUCGGCCAUCGACGAAAGACAGACCGAGCAACGCCGCGUCAGUGAAGAAGGUUUUCGGAUCGUAAAACACGGUUGGUAGAGAAGAACGUUGGUGAGAGUGGAAAGCUCAUCAAGUGACGGUAACUACUCAGAAAGGGACGGCUAACUACGUG